RNAcentral lists this long non-coding RNA (675 nucleotides) under Marmota monax (woodchuck). The record is from RNAcentral. Lineage: Eukaryota; Metazoa; Chordata; Mammalia; Rodentia; Sciuridae.
UCUUUCCAGACUAGGCCGAGCUCUAGGCGCCAUCAUGGGAGUCGACAUAGGCCACAACAAGGACCGAAAGGUUCAACGCAAGCAGCCCAAGAGCCAGGAAGUCUACCUAAGGCUGUUGGUCAAGUUGUACAGGUUUCUGGCUAGAGGAACCAAUUCUACUUUCAACCAAGUGGUACUGAAGAGGUUGUUCAUGAGUCGCACCAAUAGGCCACCUCUCUCCCUCUCCCGGAAGGAUGAUCCCGAAGAUGAAGCUUCCUGGCCGAGAAAACAAAACCUCUGUGGUCGUGGGGACCAUAACAGAUGACGUUGGUUUCAGGAGGUGCCUAAACUGAAGGUGUGCUCACCGAGCGUGAGCAGCCGAGCCGCAGCCGCAUCCUCAAGGUUGGGGGCAAGAUCCUCACCUUUGACCAACUGCCCCUGGACUCCCCCAAGAACCGUGGCACUGUCCUCUUCUCUGGUCCUCGCAAGGGCCGAGAGUGUACCGUGUUCUGGCAUUUUGGCAAGGCUCCUGGGAUCCCACAGAGCCACACCAAACCCUGUGUCCGCUCCAAGGGCAGGAAAUUCGAGCGCGCCAGAGGCCGAGGGCCAGCCGUGGGUACAAAAACUAACCCCGGAUUUACUGUUAAUAAAGAGGCUUUGAAUUUGGAAAAAAAAAAAAAAUUGAAACCAAAGGAG